AGCUGAGGAAAAGAAACCAACAGGGAUUGCCUCAGUAACGGCGAGUGAAGCGGCAACAGCUCAAAUUUGAAAUCUGGCCUCUUGGGGUCCGAGUUGUAAUUUGUAGAGGAUGUUUCGGGUACCGCCUCGGUUUAAAUUUCUUGGAACAGAAUGUCAAAGAGGGUGAGAAUCCCGUCUUGGACCGGCGGUAGGGCCUAUGUGAAACUCCUUCGACGAGUCGAGUUGUUUGGGAAUGCAGCUCAAAAUGGGUGGUAAAUUUCAUCUAAAGCUAAAUAUUGGCCAGAGACCGAUAGCGCACAAGUAGAGUGAUCGAAAGAUGAAAAGCACUUUGAAAAGAGAGUUAAACAGUAUGUGAAAUUGUUGAAAGGGAAGCGCUUGCAACCAGACUUGAGCGCGGCGGUUCCCCCUUGCUUCUGCUUGGGUUACUCCGCCGUGUCCAGGCCAACAUCGGUUCUGGGGGUCGGUCAAAGGCUCUGGGAAUGUAUCUACCCACGGGUAGACUUAUAGACCAGGGUGUCAUGCGACCUCCCGGGACCGAGGAACGCGCUUCGGCUCGGAUGUUGGCGUAAUGGUUGUCAGCGACCCGUCUUGAAACACGGA
This 600-nucleotide ribosomal RNA is filed under the name Fonsecaea nubica. RNAcentral describes it as "partial large subunit ribosomal RNA". It matches the Rfam family "Eukaryotic large subunit ribosomal RNA", at positions 49 to 665 of the family's 3401-position model. Lineage: Eukaryota; Fungi; Ascomycota; Eurotiomycetes; Chaetothyriales; Herpotrichiellaceae. The record is from RNAcentral.